Molecule: ribosomal RNA, 468 nt
Filed under: uncultured bacterium
Lineage: Bacteria
Description: partial 16S ribosomal RNA
Rfam family: Bacterial small subunit ribosomal RNA
Source: RNAcentral
GACGAACGCUGGCGGCGUGCUUAAUACAUGCAAGUCGAACGGAAAGGCGCUGCUCUUGUGGUGUUCUUGAGUGGCGAACGCGUGUGUAACACGUGUGUAACCCGCCCUUGUCUUUGGGAUAACUUUAGGAAACUGGGGCUAAUAUACGAUAGGAUAUCCUGCUGCAUGGGGGUGGUUGGAAAGUUUCGGCGGUUCGGGAUGGUCUCGCUGGUUAUCAGCUUGUUGGUGAGGUAGUUGCUUACCAAGGGUUUGACGGGUAGCCUGCCUGAGAGCGUGACCGGCGACAUUGGGACUAAGAUACGGCCCAGAAGCCUACGGGAGGCAGCAGUCGGAAAUAUUGCGCAAUGGGCGAAAGCCUGAUGCAGCAACCCCGCGUGCGGGAUGACGGCCUUCGGGUUGUAAACCGCUUUCGCCUGUAACGAAGCGUGAGUGACGGUAAUGAGUAAAAAAGCACCGGCUAACUACGUG